This 253-nucleotide ribosomal RNA is filed under the name uncultured bacterium. RNAcentral's name for it is "partial 16S ribosomal RNA". It matches the Rfam family "Bacterial small subunit ribosomal RNA", at positions 524 to 776 of the family's 1533-position model. The record is from RNAcentral.
GACGGAGGAUGCAAGCGUUAUCCGGAAUGAUUGGGCGUAAAGCGUCCGCAGGUGGCAGUUCAAGUCUGCUGUCAAAGACCGGGGCUUAACUUCGGAAAGCCAGUGGAAACUGAACAGCUAGAGUAUGGUAGGGGCAGAGGGAAUUCCUGGUGUAGCGGUGAAAUGCGUAGAGAUCAGGAAGAACAUCGGUGGCGAAGGCGCCUUGCUGGACCAUAACUGACACUCAGGGACGAAAGCUAGGGGAGCGAAUGGG